Long non-coding RNA from Zingiber officinale, 485 nucleotides. RefSeq lists it as uncharacterized. The transcript is spliced from 2 exons. The record is from RefSeq and is a predicted model, not a curated record. NCBI's taxonomy places the organism in Eukaryota, Viridiplantae, Streptophyta, Magnoliopsida, Zingiberales, Zingiberaceae.
CCGGCCCAACUUUGUGUUCUUUCACCAUGAUCGCGAGGAACCCUCUGUCCUCUGACGCCCGCCGCCGGGCUCCUCCUCACCCGGCGCUCCAGCGCCGCCUGCUCCGCUGGUCUACUCAAAUCCGGAACAGCCAUGGAUCACGUCAGGCCACCAGAAAUUCACAUCCUCUUCUUCCAGAGCCUUGGGUUGUUGCAUUUGGCACUUUCUUCAAUCAACAAUAGCAACAUUGAGGGCCUUAGAGGUGAACUACUACAUUUCUUCAUCAUUUAUUUUCAACUACUAGGGCCUUAAUUUUUGUGUCACUUUCUUCCUCAUUUAUUUUGACUGUAUGUGCUAUACAAACCUAACACCAAUUACCUUUAGUAUUUCCUUACAUUUUUGAUCUACUAGGUUUCUUUACACACUGUCAAAUGUAUUUAAGACCACGGUUAAUAUACAUUUAAAUUUGUAUUCUAUAAUUCAAUCAUUUAUAAGAUUUAUGCAGU